GAUGAACGCUGGCGGCGUGCUUAACACAUGCAAGUCGAACGAAGCACUUUAUUUGAUUUCCUUCGGGACUGAUUAUUUUGUGACUGAGUGGCGGACGGGUGAGUAACGCGUGGGUAACCUGCCUUGUACAGGGGGAUAACAGUUGGAAACGGCUGCUAAUACCGCAUAAGCGCACGGCAUCGCAUGAUGCAGUGUGAAAAACUCCGGUGGUAUAAGAUGGACCCGCGUUGGAUUAGCUAGUUGGCGAGGUAACGGCCCACCAAGGCGACGAUCCAUAGCCGACCUGAGAGGGUGACCGGCCACAUUGGGACUGAGACACGGCCCAAACUCCUACGGGAGGCAGCAGUGGGGAAUAUUGCACAAUGGGCGAAAGCCUGAUGCAGCGACGCCGCGUGAGCGAAGAAGUAUUUCGGUAUGUAAAGCUCUAUCAGCAGGGAAGAUAAUGACGGUACCUGACUAAGAAGCACCGGCUAAAUACGUG
RNAcentral lists this ribosomal RNA (481 nucleotides) under uncultured bacterium. RNAcentral's name for it is "partial 16S ribosomal RNA". It matches the Rfam family "Bacterial small subunit ribosomal RNA", at positions 28 to 507 of the family's 1533-position model. The record is from RNAcentral.